AACGAACGCUGGCGGCAUGCCUAACACAUGCAAGUCGAACGGGAUCCUGGUUUCGGCCAGGUGAGAGUGGCGGACGGGUGAGUAACGCGUGGGAACCUGCCCAGUGGUGGGGGAUAACUGCGGGAAACUGCAGCUAAUACCGCAUGAGCCCGCAAGGGGAAAGAUUGAUCGCCAUUGGAGGGGCCCGCGUUCGAUUAGGUAGUUGGUGAGGUAACGGCUCACCAAGCCUACGANCGAUAGCUGGUCUGAGAGGAUGAUCAGCCACACUGGGACUGAGAUACGGCCCAGACUCCUACGGGAGGCAGCAGUGGGGAAUAUUGGACAAUGGGGGCAACCCUGAUCCAGCAAUGCCGCGUGAGUGAUGAAGGCCU
This 371-nucleotide ribosomal RNA is filed under the name uncultured bacterium. RNAcentral describes it as "bacterial SSU rRNA". It matches the Rfam family "Bacterial small subunit ribosomal RNA", at positions 29 to 417 of the family's 1533-position model. The record is from RNAcentral.